Danio aesculapii is the source of this 443-nucleotide long non-coding RNA. RefSeq lists it as uncharacterized. The transcript has 3 exons. The record is from RefSeq and is a predicted model, not a curated record. Lineage: Eukaryota; Metazoa; Chordata; Actinopteri; Cypriniformes; Danionidae.
AACAGCAUAUUGGACGCAAACCAAAAGAAACUAAAUAAUCUUGUGUAGCGUAAAGACAUAUUGAUUAGCAGUCAUGGUUAGUGUGAUUCUCCUUGCAUAUAUCUCAGUGAAUCUUUUCAUUCCGAGUCAAGGUCAAAACAUUCAACGGGCUAAGAUUUUCAGUCAAAACAAAGAAGUGCCAGAAGGGGGUAAACUGGAGGUUACUUGCAGUGCAUUUGGUCUGGCAACAAAGGCAGUUUAUGUCUAUCUGUGUACAGACGGUAAAGCUGUAGAUGUGCAAUUUGGACAAGAUGUCUCCUUUAAAAUAGAGCGUGUGGAAACGAACCAAUCUGGCAACUACAGCUGUGUGUUUUCAGAAGAGAAGUUGGAGAUAACUAAAGUUAUGGGAUAUGGUCAAAAUAAUGUCUUCAUCAAUGUGACCGGUAAGAUAUUCUGACAUUUCU